CGAUACGGGACUCAUCCGAGGCCCCGUAAUCGGAAUGAGUACACUUUAAAUCCUUUAACGAGGAUCNAUUGGAGGGCAAGUCUGGUGCCAGCAGCCGCGGUAAUUCCAGCUCCAAUAGCGUAUAUUAAAGUUGUUGCGGUUAAAAAGCUCGUAGUUGAAUCUGUGUGCCACAAUGUCGGUCCGCCGCUCGCGGUGGUUACUUGCAUCACGUGGGACGUCCUACCGGUGGCUUACGAACCCUUCCCGGGUUCGAGCCAACUAAUAUCCCAUCGCGGUGCUCUUCAUUGAGUGUCGAGGUGGGCCGGUACGUUUACUUUGAACAAAUUAGAGUGCUUAAAGCAGGCUACUUUCGCCUGAAUACUGUGUGCAUGGAAUAAUGGAAUAGGACCUCGGUUCUAUUUUGUUGGUUUUCGGAACCCCGAGGUAAUGAUUAAUAGGGACAGAUGGGGGCAUUCGUAUUGCGACGUUAGAGGUGAAAUUCUUGGAUCGUCGCAAGACGGACAGAAGCGAAAGCAUUUGCCAAAAAUGUUUUCAUUAAUCAAGAACGAAAGUUAGAGGUUCGAAGGCGAUCAGAUACCGCCCUAGUUCUAACCAUAAACGAUGCCAGCUAGCGAUCCGCCGAAGUUCCUCCGAUGACUCGGCGGGCAGCUUCCGGGAAACCAAAGCUUUUGGGUUCCGGGGGANGUAUGGUUGCAAAGCUGAAACUUAAAGGAAU
This 715-nucleotide ribosomal RNA is filed under the name Holepyris sp. RNAcentral's name for it is "SSU rRNA". It matches the Rfam family "Eukaryotic small subunit ribosomal RNA", at positions 477 to 1153 of the family's 1831-position model. Lineage: Eukaryota; Metazoa; Arthropoda; Insecta; Hymenoptera; Bethylidae. The record is from RNAcentral.